RNAcentral lists this ribosomal RNA (777 nucleotides) under uncultured Bacillota bacterium. RNAcentral's name for it is "bacterial SSU rRNA". It matches the Rfam family "Bacterial small subunit ribosomal RNA", at positions 560 to 1345 of the family's 1533-position model. Lineage: Bacteria; Bacillati; Bacillota. The record is from RNAcentral.
GUAAAGGGUGCGUAGGCGGUUUGUUAAGUAUGAGAUUAAAGCCCGAGGCUUAACCUCGGUUCGUUUCAUAAACUGGCAGACUUGAGUAUGGCAGAGGUAAACGGAAUUUCUAGUGUAGCGGUAGAAUGCGUAGAUAUUAGAAGGAACACCAGUGGCGAAGGCGGUUUACUGGGCCACAACUGACGCUGAGGCACGAAAGCGUGGGGAGCAAAUAGGAUUAGAUACCCUAGUAGUCCACGCCGUAAACGAUGAGUACUAAGUGUUGGGGCAACCCAGUGCUGAAGUUAACACAUUAAGUACUCCGCCUGAGUAGUACGGUCGCAAGGCUGAAACCCAAAGGAAUUGACGGGCACCCGCACAAGCAGUGGAGCAUGCUGUUUAAUUCGAAGAUACGCGAAGAACCUUACCAGGGCUUGACAUCCCACUGACCGCUCUAGAAAUAGAGUUUUCCCUUCGGGGACAGUGGUGACAGGUGGUGCAUGGUUGUCGUCAGCUCGUGUCGUGAGAUGUUCGGUUAAGUCCGAUAACGAGCGCAACCCUUCUCUCUAAUUGCUAACAUUCAGUUGAGAACCUUAGAGAUACUGCCGGUGACAAACCGGAGGGAGGUGGGGAUGACGUCAAAUCAUCAUGCCCCUUACGUCCUGGGCUACAGGCGUGCUAUAAUGGCAGAUAUAAUAAGUCGCAAUACCGUGAGGUGGAGCUAAUCUCCAAAGUCUGUCUCAGUUCGGAUUGAAGUCUGCAACUCGACUUCAUGAAGCUAGAAUUGCUAGUAAUCGU